AACGCACAUUGCGCCCUCUGGUAUUCCGGGGGGCAUGCCUGUUCGAGCGUCAUUUCAACCCUCAAGCUCCGGCUUGGUGUUGGGCGCCGCCCCGCCCGCGGGCGCGCCUGAAACUCGUGGGCGGCCGUGCUCGGCUCCUCAGCGUAGUCACAUCUCUCGCUCUGGACAGUCGCGCGCGGCCCGCCUGGGAAACCGCAUCUCACAUCACGGUUUGACCUCGGAUCAGGUAGGGAUACCCGCUGAACUUAA
RNAcentral lists this unclassified non-coding RNA (249 nucleotides) under uncultured fungus. RNAcentral describes it as "partial contains 5.8S ribosomal RNA, internal transcribed spacer 2, and large subunit ribosomal RNA". The stretch from base 1 to 52 matches the Rfam family "5.8S ribosomal RNA", at positions 103 to 154 of the family's 154-position model. The record is from RNAcentral. Lineage: Eukaryota; Fungi.